This is a non-coding RNA of Pseudomonas batumici, 283 nucleotides long. The record is from Rfam. Lineage: Bacteria; Pseudomonadati; Pseudomonadota; Gammaproteobacteria; Pseudomonadales; Pseudomonadaceae.
AUACGUGUAGGGUGGAGAUGCACAACCGUCGGACUGUGUAGCAUUAGGCUUGAUCAAGACGCUUCAUAUCGUCCACACCCGCGGUUGAUUCCUCCUCCUGACAGAGCUUUUGCUUGCGAAGGUGUCGUUUGUCACCCUUCGAGCAGGACGCGUGAGUCGCGACUUCGCCCCCUCUGGACGAACCUCGGCCGACACAGGAAUGGCCAACCACUCCUGACGCACCUGACACCGACCGUGAGAAGUCGUGUGUGCCGAACGCCGUUUCCGGCAGCCCGGAAACCGA